CACAUGGAAAAUUCAUUGCAAGAGAAGAGAUGGAAUAUAACUGUUUCCAAAUUCUUGACGACGAAGGAAUAUUUUUCCAAAAAAAAAAGACGAAGGAAUACACACUAAAUGUUAUACAAUCAGGUCAAUGAUUUACCAGAGGAAGUAAGACAUGGACAAAACUGAGAAGACAAAGAAGCAAAAGAGUCCUACUGAACUUGAUGAGGAUAAUGAUACAAAGGAAACUACUGUACCCUACUUUGCACAGGAAAUUGUAUGCAAGGAGUGGUUCAGUAUAAUAGGGUUGGGGGCCAUUUUGCUAUCCUCAUUGACCAUCUUAGUACCAAUAAAAAUGGAAGGAUUUUCUGUCUCUGAACCAAUAAUGGCGGAUGGAUUGAUGUGGGCAUAGGGAGUGCCCUUCGUCACCACAGUUACAUUCAUUACCCUGAUCGAUUGAUACCUCCUCAUCCAUCUUCUCCAAUUCCUAUCUUCACUUUACUAUUUUCAUCUUCACAUGGGGGCCAUUGUGCCAAAGCAUGUUUUGGUCCUCUUACAUAUUACACUUCUUCCAUUCUUGGCUUUCAUUGGGUUUCUCGUUAUUAAUUUGUGAGGUCAUGUAAUUGAUUUGCCAAUUUAAAGUAGUGAUGGGAGUACGAUGUCUUGUAUUUCAUCACUUGCAUAAGUGAGCUGUUUUUUAAGGAUUGUUAAAAGGUUGAAGGCCCAGCAAAUUUUUCAUUUCAAUAAAUAUUUUGUAUAGAAUUUCACUAUAAAUUAUAGCAAUGGUUCUUUCUCUAUAAGUAAAAUCAAAAAGAGAUGUGAGGACAAGCAGUUGUAACCCCAUUCUCAAUCGGUAAUGAAACAGAUCUCAUCUCACUAUAGUUGUAAACAAUUUUUUUGAAUAACGUAAAAUCUUUGUAGCAA
Macadamia integrifolia is the source of this 900-nucleotide long non-coding RNA. RefSeq lists it as uncharacterized. The transcript has 2 exons. NCBI's taxonomy places the organism in Eukaryota, Viridiplantae, Streptophyta, Magnoliopsida, Proteales, Proteaceae. The record is from RefSeq and is a predicted model, not a curated record.